CAAAUGAAUUGACGGGGCCGCACAAGCAGUGGAUUAUGUGGUUUAAUUCGAAGCAACGCGAAGAGCCUUACCAGGGUUUGACAUCCUACUAACGAAGCAGAGAUGCAUUAGGUGCCCUUCGGGGAAAGUAGAGACAGGUGGUGCAUGGUUGUCGUCAGCUCGUGUCGUGAGAUGUUGGGUUAAGUCCCGCAACGAGCGCAACCCUUAUUGUUAGUUGCUACGCAAGGGCACUCUAGCGAGACUGCCGUUGACAAACGGAGGAAGUGGGGACGACGUCAAAUCAUCAUGCCCCUUAUGUCCUGGGCUACACACGUAAUACAAUGGCGGCCAACAACGGGAGGCAAGACAGUGAUGUGGAGCAAAUCCCAAAAAGCCGUCUCAGUUCGGAUUGCAGGCUGAAACCCGCCUGCAUGAAGUCGGAAUUGCUAGUAAUCGCGGAUCAGCAUGCCGCGGUGAAUACGUUCCCGGGCCUU
RNAcentral lists this ribosomal RNA (473 nucleotides) under uncultured Oscillospiraceae bacterium. RNAcentral's name for it is "bacterial SSU rRNA". It matches the Rfam family "Bacterial small subunit ribosomal RNA", at positions 902 to 1382 of the family's 1533-position model. Lineage: Bacteria; Bacillati; Bacillota; Clostridia; Eubacteriales; Oscillospiraceae. The record is from RNAcentral.